CCUACGGGGUGCAGCAGUGGGGAAUAUUGGGCAAUGGGCGCAAGCCUGACCCAGCAACGCCGCGUGAAGGAAGAAGGCUUUCGGGUUGUAAACUUCUUUUCUCAGGGACGAAGCAAGUGACGGUACCUGAGGAAUAAGCCACGGCUAACUACGUGCCAGCAGCCGCGGUAAUACGUAGGUGGCAAGCGUUAUCCGGAUUUACUGGGUGUAAAGGGCGUGUAGGCGGGACUGCAAGUCAGAUGUGAAAACCACGGGCUCAACCUGUGCCCUGCAUUUGAAACUGUAGUUCUUGAGUACUGGGGAGGCAGACGGAAUUCCUAGUGUAGCGGUGAAAUGCGUAGAGAUUAGGAGGAACACCAGUGGCGAAGGCGGUCUGCUGGACAGCAACUGACGUUGAGGCUCGAAAGCGUGGGGAGCAAACAGGAUUAGAUACCCCGGUAGUC
This 443-nucleotide ribosomal RNA is filed under the name uncultured bacterium. Its description in RNAcentral is "partial 16S ribosomal RNA". It matches the Rfam family "Bacterial small subunit ribosomal RNA", at positions 338 to 795 of the family's 1533-position model. The record is from RNAcentral.